GUCAGGGGAAGGUGUGUUUUAAAGGACGAUCCGCCUAUUAAUUUACCCCAACUAUGUUGGUGUAUAUCUGGUUGAAUAUUAUUGCUUAGUUGCUUGAAUUUGUGUAUUAAUAUUUAAGCUAAGUCUAUGUGCUGCAUGUUGGGGUUUUCAUGCGUUACAUUUAUAAACUUUAAUACCUGUAAUGGUUUAUGUUUUAGGACUUGAUAGUAAUACUAAAUGAGUUUGUUGGUGUGAAGGUGGUUUAGCUCAGGUACACACCGCCCGUCACCCUCGAUAUUUUU
Molecule: ribosomal RNA, 281 nt
Filed under: Cyclophyllidea sp. JZ-2012
Lineage: Eukaryota; Metazoa; Platyhelminthes; Cestoda; Cyclophyllidea
Description: partial small subunit ribosomal RNA
Source: RNAcentral